Molecule: transfer RNA, 67 nt
Filed under: Lethe oculatissima
Lineage: Eukaryota; Metazoa; Arthropoda; Insecta; Lepidoptera; Nymphalidae
Description: tRNA-Phe
Source: RNAcentral
ACUUAAAUAGCUUAUAUUUAGAGUUUAAUAUUGAAGAUAUUAAGGAGAUUAAUUAAAUCUUUAAGUA